AGCAGCAGCCGCGGUAAUAUGAAGGGGGCUAGCGUUGUUCGGAAUCACUGGGCGUAAAGAGCGCGUAGGCGGAUCUUUAAGUCAGAGGUGAAAUCCCGAGGCUCAACCUCGGAACUGCCUUUGAUACUGGGGAUCUCGAGUCCGGGAGAGGUGAGUGGAACUGCGAGUGUAGAGGUAAAAUUCGUAGAUAUUCGCAAGAACACCAGUGGCGAAGGCGGCUCACUGGCCCGGAACUGACGCUGAGGUGCGAAAGCGUGGGGAGCAAACAGGAUUAGAGACCCCUGUAGUCCCUGUCUCUUAUAC
This 303-nucleotide ribosomal RNA is filed under the name uncultured bacterium. RNAcentral's name for it is "partial 16S ribosomal RNA". It matches the Rfam family "Bacterial small subunit ribosomal RNA", at positions 507 to 807 of the family's 1533-position model. The record is from RNAcentral.